UACGAAGGGUGCAAGCGUUACUCGGAAUUACUGGGCGUAAAGCGUGCGUAGGUGGUGAGUUAAGUCUGUCGUGAAAGCCCCGGGCUCAACCUGGGAAUGGCGAUGGAUACUGGCUCGCUAGAGUGCGGUAGAGGAGAGUGGAAUUCCCGGUGUAGCAGUGAAAUGCGUAGAUAUGCGGAGGAACACCGAUGGCGAAGGCAAUCCCCUGGACCUGUACUGACGCUCAUGCACGAAAGCGUGGGGAGCAAACAGG
Molecule: ribosomal RNA, 253 nt
Filed under: uncultured bacterium
Lineage: Bacteria
Description: partial 16S ribosomal RNA
Rfam family: Bacterial small subunit ribosomal RNA
Source: RNAcentral